This is a long non-coding RNA of Schistocerca americana (American grasshopper), 1237 nucleotides long. RefSeq lists it as uncharacterized. NCBI's taxonomy places the organism in Eukaryota, Metazoa, Arthropoda, Insecta, Orthoptera, Acrididae. The transcript has 3 exons. The record is from RefSeq and is a predicted model, not a curated record.
CUUUUGUUUACAUUAAUAGCGUCAUGAUAUUGUUGUAUUCUACGGUGAGCUUGGAGGAGACGGAAGCGAUGUGAAAUAUUGAGCAGUCCUAAAGCUACACAUUUGUGUGCAGAAGGGGGACAUGAUCCAAUUUCACCACUAUGCUGGAAUGUGUGGAAUGUAAUUGAAGACUUGCAUAGAAGCACAUCAAGUGGCAGCAAUCUGGUAUACUGUUAUUACAAUGGGCUGUGUGUGAUGAAAUAUCAAACCAUGCCACAAUAAUAGCUGCCCUGAGCAAACUCAGUCUAUAAGGUGGGGACCAUUUUCGGAAAUCAUAUGAUUAAGUUGUUUUGAUUCCAUCAAACAGGACACCUUGACAGACACAUGUGGUGGCAAGAUAUAAAUUAAUGGGUAUAGAGAUGGUCAACAAAUUAUCUUUGUACCACACAUGCAGUUUGAAAAGAAUCCCUGCAAGGUGGCUCAUUGUGGUAAUUGAGUCAAUAAAUUGAAUGACAUUGACCAAAGUUGUCUAGUAUUCACUCACUGCCAGUUUAACUAAUAGAUGACACUGUGUUUUAUGGGUUUAACGGUCUGUCAAUAAAUGAUUUCAAACUUAGUUGCUCAUAACAUUGCAGCAACCGUCAACAUCGUGUGGCAUUCUUGCUUUGGCACACUCUGCCGUUUACCAGUUUGUGUUAUCUAAAGUUGGCAGUGACAAAAAGAUCAAUAAAAAUGUUGUCUCAUUCUGCUAAAAGCUGCUUUAUUGCCUGUUUUAUUUGUUGAAACUAGUUUCAAUUGUAAAAUGUUAAUUUUGCAGUGAAACUUACAAAGCAGAAUCUUUGCUGCCGGAAAAUGUAAAAAUCUCAGCUUUUUUCUGGUGAAUAGGUGUCGUGCCACAUGUACAUAUUGCCUGUGUCUCAAAAUUACUGCUCCCAUCUGAAAUUACUACUGCCAAAUGAAAAUAGAAUCUGGCCAGUUGCAGUAAUCCUAGAGUUUGGAUCAACUGUCCAGUGCUCACCUGGUAGUUGUAAUGUUGAAUACAGCAAUGUUGUUAACACGGAAGAAGCCUGUACAAGUAACAUGAUUUUACCUGUAUAAGAAUAAGAUUUUCAUAUUUUUUUGGAGAAAAGAACUUCACCUUGUAAACUUUGUUGAAUGAAGGUAAUUGUGCAAGGGAAACUGGUUUCCACAAAUAGGCCUACAGCACAUGUACAUCAGCUUUUGAUGGGACACAUUGUUUUCUGUAAAUACAGUGAAU